CCUACGGGUGGCAGCAGUGGGGGAUAUUGCACAAUGGGGGCAACCCUGAUGCAGCGAUGCCGCGUGGGUGAAGAAGCGCCUCGGCGCGUAAAGCCCUGUCAGCAGGGAAGAAAAUGACGGUAUCUGAAGACGAAGCGCCGGCUAACUACGUGCCAGCAGCCGCGGUAAUACGUAGGGGGCAAGGGUUAUCCGGAUUUACUGGGUGUAAAGGUGGCGCAGACGGCGAUGCAAGACGAGUGUGAAAGCCCGGGGCCCAACCCCGGGACUGCACUUGGAACUGCGUGGCUAGAGUGCAGGAGAGGCAGGCGGAAUUCCUGGUGUAGCGGUGAAAUGCGUAGAGAUCAGGAGGAACACCGGUGGCGAAGGCGGCCUGCUGGAC
RNAcentral lists this ribosomal RNA (379 nucleotides) under uncultured bacterium. Its description in RNAcentral is "partial 16S ribosomal RNA". It matches the Rfam family "Bacterial small subunit ribosomal RNA", at positions 338 to 734 of the family's 1533-position model. The record is from RNAcentral.